This 292-nucleotide ribosomal RNA is filed under the name uncultured eukaryote. RNAcentral describes it as "partial 18S ribosomal RNA". It matches the Rfam family "Eukaryotic small subunit ribosomal RNA", at positions 6 to 296 of the family's 1831-position model. The record is from RNAcentral.
GGUUGAUCCUGCCAGUAGUCAUAUGCUCGUUUCAAAGAUUAAGCCAUGCAUGUCUAAGUAUAAGCGAAAUUAAUACUGUGAAACUGCGUACGGCUCAUUAUAUCAGUUAUUGUUUCUUCGGUAGUAUUUCUUUUAGUUGGAUACUUGCAGUAAUUCUGGAAAUAAUACAUGCAAUAAGAACUCAACUUUCUUGGAAGGAAGAGUUGCAUUUAUUAGAAUUGAAACCAUUCUUACAUUAUGGUGAAUCAUGAUAACUUAGCAAAUUAUGUUUUUUUUUGAAACAUGAUGAAUC